UCACUUGUGGGGGGAUUAGUGGCGAACGGGUGAGUAACACGUGAGAUAACCUGCCCUUGACUCUGGGAUAAGCCUGGGAAACCGGGUCUAAUACUGGAUACGACCUUCUGGCGCAUGCCAUGUUGGUGGAAAGCUUUUGUGGUUUUGGAUGGACUCGCGGCCUAUCAGCUUGUUGGUGGGGUAAUGGCCUACCAAGGCGACAACGGGUAGCCGGCCUGAGAGGGUGACCGGCCACACUGGGACUGAGACACGGCCCAGACUCCUACGGGAGGCAGCAGUGGGGAAUAUUGCACAAUGGGCGCAAGCCUGAUGCAGCGACGCCGCGUGAGGGAUGAAGGCCUUCGGGUUGUAAACCUCUUUCAGUAGGGAAGAAGCCGGCCUUUCGGGGUUGGUGACGGUACCUGCAGAAGAAGCGCCGGCUAACUACGUGCCAGCAGCCGCGGUAAUACGUAGGGCGCAAGCGUUAUCCGGAAUUAUUGGGCGUAAAGAGCUCGUAGGCGGUUUGUCGCGUCUGCCGUGAAAGUCCGGGGCUUAACCCCGGAUCUGCGGUGGGUACGGGCAGACUAGAGUGCAGUAGGGGAGACUGGAAUUCCUGGUGUAGCGGUGAAAUGCGCAGAUAUCAGGAGGAACACCGAUGGCGAAGGCAGGUCUCUGGGCUGUAACUGACGCUGAGGAGCGAAAGCAUGGGGAGCGAACAGGAUUAGAUACCCUGGUAGUCCAUGCCGUAAACGUUGGGCACUAGGUGUGGGGGACAUUCCACGUUUUCCGCGCCGUAGCUAACGCAUUAAGUGCCCCGCCUGGGGAGUACGGCCGCAAGGCUAAAACUCAAAGGAAUUGACGGGGGCCCGCACAAGCGGCGGAGCAUGCGGAUUAAUUCGAUGCAACGCGAAGAACCUUACCAAGGCUUGACAUGAACCGGAAUGAUGCAGAGAUGUGUCAGCCACUUGUGGCCGGUUUACAGGUGGUGCAUGGUUGUCGUCAGCUCGUGUCGUGAGAUGUUGGGUUAAGUCCCGCAACGAGCGCAACCCUCGUUCCAUGUUGCCAGCGGGUUAUGCCGGGGACUCAUGGGAGACUGCCGGGGUCAACUCGGAGGAAGGUGGGGACGACGUCAAAUCAUCAUGCCCCUUAUGUCUUGGGCUUCACGCAUGCUACAAUGGCCGGUACAAAGGGUUGCGAUACUGUGAGGUGGAGCUAAUCCCAAAAAGCCGGUCUCAGUUCGGAUUGAGGUCUGCAACUCGACCUCAUGAAGUUGGAGUCGCUAGUAAUCGCAGAUCAGCAACGCUGCGGUGAAUACGUUCCCGGGCCUUGUA
RNAcentral lists this ribosomal RNA (1310 nucleotides) under Arthrobacter sp. b173. Its description in RNAcentral is "bacterial SSU rRNA". It matches the Rfam family "Bacterial small subunit ribosomal RNA", at positions 76 to 1385 of the family's 1533-position model. The record is from RNAcentral. Lineage: Bacteria; Bacillati; Actinomycetota; Actinomycetes; Micrococcales; Micrococcaceae.